RNAcentral lists this ribosomal RNA (419 nucleotides) under uncultured Barnesiella sp. Its description in RNAcentral is "bacterial SSU rRNA". It matches the Rfam family "Bacterial small subunit ribosomal RNA", at positions 358 to 774 of the family's 1533-position model. Lineage: Bacteria; Pseudomonadati; Bacteroidota; Bacteroidia; Bacteroidales; Barnesiellaceae. The record is from RNAcentral.
GGAAUAUUGGUCAAUGGCCGCAGGGCUGAACCAGCCAAGUCGCGUGAGGGAAGACGGCCCUACGGGUUGUAAACCUCUUUUGCCGGGGAGUAACGUGGCGCACGCGUGCGCCAGUGAGAGUACCCGGAGAAAAAGCAUCGGCUAACUCCGUGCCAGCAGCCGCGGUAAUACGGAGGAUGCGAGCGUUAUCCGGAUUUAUUGGGUUUAAAGGGUGCGCAGGCGGCUGCUUAAGUCAGCGGUUAAAAUUCGGGGCUCAACCCCGUCAUGCCGUUGAAACUGGGCUGGCUGGAGUGCGCGCGACGAAGGCGGAAUGCGUGGUGUAGCGGUGAAAUGCAUAGAUAUCACGCAGAACUCCGAUUGCGAAGGCAGCCUUCGAGUGCGUCACUGACGCUCAUGCACGAAAGCGUGGGUAUCGAACA